Molecule: long non-coding RNA, 395 nt
Filed under: Musa acuminata (dwarf banana)
Lineage: Eukaryota; Viridiplantae; Streptophyta; Magnoliopsida; Zingiberales; Musaceae
Description: long non-coding RNA (MACU_LNC002291)
Source: RNAcentral
GUGAGCUGCAACAGUGAUUGGCCCGAAAAGAUCGUCAUGGGACAAUUGCUCCCACUGCGCUGCAUGCGAUCAUGACAUCCCAGACAAACGCACCCAACUUUGUGGGCGACAGCAUUAGCAACCGGAGGAGGAAGAAGCACGACGACAUGCAUGAGACAGUCGCGGGUCAUGUGAGAAAAGACGAUCGGCAAUAAGGUGUUGCGCAAAAAGUCCGGAAGAUAACCUUCGUAACAAGAGAGUCAGAAUGUAAAGUUACCUUCAUGCCGGGAGACAAGCAUUAACACUCGGGCAGCUCUCCAGUUGUCGAGUGGAAGGACUGACUAAACGCUGGGAGAAUCCGACAAAGACGUCUGCACACAGAUAGAAGCACCAAAAUGAGAAAAAAAGAAGAAAAU